RNAcentral lists this long non-coding RNA (218 nucleotides) under Setaria viridis. RNAcentral's name for it is "long non-coding RNA (SVIR_LNC009843)". Lineage: Eukaryota; Viridiplantae; Streptophyta; Magnoliopsida; Poales; Poaceae. The record is from RNAcentral.
GGUGAGUAGGGAGAAAUCGACGAUGACCCAUAUAGACGACCUUCUUACAAUGCUUCAAAUACAUGCUGUCUGUUUCGUCUAAACAGUGGGUGCAUGCCCGAUAUCCCUUAUUUGUCUGUCCCGAAAGGUUACUCAGUGCAGGCCAAUCAUUGAUGGUUACGAACAACAAUGCUCGUAGAUUAAAGAUCUCUUGUCUAUCCUCAUCCCACACACGUACA